RNAcentral lists this long non-coding RNA (2278 nucleotides) under Homo sapiens (human). RNAcentral describes it as "HSALNT0343878". Lineage: Eukaryota; Metazoa; Chordata; Mammalia; Primates; Hominidae. The record is from RNAcentral.
UCUCUCGUAGGCUGGCCGGUCCUGGAGGAGAGGCUGUUCUGGCGGCGGGGCUGUCUUGGAGGCUAGGAGGUCUCGGAAACUGGGCUGUCCCGGAGGCGGGGCACAGGCUGGGGUGAGGCGGAGCCGACCCUGAGGCGGGCCCGGGGCGCGGCUACCGCUCCCUGAGCCACGCCCGUGGUCUCCCGUUCCAUCGGUGGACCCCACCUCGGGCCGUGCUGCGGGCUCUCGGGGCGCCUACCAGGUCGGCUCCAAGGCUACACAAGCAGCAAGAAGAAAAGGAAAAACUCUGUUUUAUUAAAGCUCCACUUGCCUAUCUACCUUGGUGGAGGGUCAAGAAAAGGUUUAUAACCUAUUUGCAGGUUUUAGGCUCCUGUUUGCAGCACAGAAACCACAGACAAUAGAAAUUCAGACUCAGUGGUGUGGCAGAAGAUAAAAUAAUUUGGGUUAUUUCUGUGAUAACAUGGGCAAUCUGGAAACUACUCCCAUUUGUGAGGGUAAAUCUCUAUUAUGAUACAUGGAAAAUAGGACAGAUGCUAAUUCAGGUAAGAAAAGGUCUUUGUAUUAUACAAAUAUUUACCUUCAGACAGAAAUGUUAAUGAAGAUGGAGAAGGAACAGUUACCAAGAAACUAGGGAUAGUAGGACACAAAAAACCUGGUAACCUGGUAGUGAGUAUGAACCAGUCUGGUGCCUUGCCUCCAGAGGAGCAGCAACUGAGCAGAGCUACUGGACAACCAGCCCUGCACUUCCCUAGAGCACAGACCAGCUCACUAUGCAGCCACCAAGAGAUAAGCACCGAAGGAGAACCUACCAGCCAUGGAUCCUCAGAAAACAGACCAGCUAAGUGCCCAGCCUUCAGGGGACAAGCAGCUGAGUGGGCAUACCAGCCACACAAACUUCUGCAGCCAAGGCCACUGAGGUACUUGCAGGCACCACUGACAUUAACUACAGCUAAAGAAGCUGCAUGGAGACUACACUACUGCAUCCACCCAGAACAAAAACAAAUGUACCUUACCCAACCAACAUGCUAGGACACAUCUGCAGGUGUAAGUCUUUUCCGCUGAAAGUUAUGCUACCAAGUUAGAAAAGGUGAUUAUUCCAUCAGAUGCACAGAUGCCAGUGCAGGGAUACAAGAAACAUAAAAAAGCAAGGGAACAUGACACCACCAAAGAAACACAAUAAUUCUCUAGUAACUGACCCCAAUAAAAAAAUAAAAAUUUAUGAAUUGCCUGAAAAGGAAUUCAAGAUAGUGAGCCUAAGGAAACUUGGUGAGACAUGAAAGAACACAAACGGAUCAUUCAACAAUCGGGAAAAACAGUUCAUGAUCUGAAUGAGAAAUUCAACAAAGAGAGAGAUAUCAUAAAAAAGAACAAAAUAGAAAUCUUGGGGCCAAGAAAUUCAAUGAAUGAAAUAAAAAAACGCAAUUGAGAGCUUCAACAGCAAAAUAGAUCAAACAGAAGAAUUUUUGAACUUGAAAACAGGCCUUUUGAAAUAGUCCAGUCAGAGGUAAAGAAAAAAAAAAAGGAAUGAAGAAGCCUAUGGCAUUUAUGGGACACCAUAAGUGAACAAAUGUUUGCAUUUUGGCAACUUAAGAAGAAGAGAUGAAGAAAGGCAAAGAAAGCUUAUUUAACAAAGUAAUAGUUGAAAACUUCCCAAGUCUUGGGGAGAUAUGGACAUCCAGAUCCAUGAAGUUCAAAGGAUCCCACAAAGAUUCAACUCAAAGAGGUCCUCUCUGAGGCAUAUAACCAAACUGUCAAAAGUCAAAGACAAAGAAAAAAAUACUAAAAGCAGCAUGAGAAAAACAUCAAGUCACAUAUAAGGGAAUUGCCAUUGGACUAUUAGCAGAUUUCCCAGCAGCAACCUUGCAGGCCAGGAGAGAAUGGGAUGAUAUAUUUAAAAUACUAGAAGAAAAAAAGCUGCUAGCCUAGAAUACUAUACCAGCAAAUCUUUGCUUCAGAAAUGAAGGAGAAAUAGUCUUUCCCAGAUCAGCAAAAGUUGAGGGAACUCAUUACCACUGGACCAGACUUACAAGAAAUGCUUGAGUAUUUCUAUUGGAAAAAAAAGUUUUCAUGAUAAUUGCUACCAUAAAAAAACAUGAAGUAUAAAUCUCACUGCUGGAGAUAAAUGCAUUAUCAAAUUCAUAAUGCUUCAUUACUGCAAUGGUGAUAUGUAAUGUUUCAAACCUCUAGUAUGAAGGUUAAAGGCCAAAACAGCUGGGUGCUGUGGCAUGUGCUUGUAGUCCCAGUUAUUUAGGAGGCUGAAAUGGAAGGCUCAUUUGAG